This 207-nucleotide ribosomal RNA is filed under the name uncultured bacterium. RNAcentral's name for it is "partial 16S ribosomal RNA". It matches the Rfam family "Bacterial small subunit ribosomal RNA", at positions 568 to 774 of the family's 1533-position model. The record is from RNAcentral.
UACGUAGGUGGCUUGGUAAGUCGGAUGUGAAAGCCCUGGGCUUAACCUGGGAACUGCAUCCGAAACUGCCUGGCUGGAGUAAGGGAGAGGGAAGUGGAAUUUCCGGUGUAGCGGUGAAAUGCGUAGAUAUCGGAAGGAACACCAGUGGCAAAGGCGACUUCCUGGCCCAUUACUGACACUGAGGUACGAAAGCGUGGGGAGCAAACA